RNAcentral lists this transfer-messenger RNA (184 nucleotides) under Mesorhizobium sp. Its description in RNAcentral is "partial transfer-messenger RNA". It matches the Rfam family "Alphaproteobacteria transfer-messenger RNA", at positions 171 to 355 of the family's 355-position model. Rfam says of the family: Bacterial tmRNA, also known as 10Sa RNA or SsrA, is named for its dual tRNA and mRNA-like properties. The record is from RNAcentral. Lineage: Bacteria; Pseudomonadati; Pseudomonadota; Alphaproteobacteria; Hyphomicrobiales; Phyllobacteriaceae.
GGUGUAAAGAUCGUACUUUUGCCCGGCAUUGUACCACCGUUAUCGGGCUGAACUUAUAGUUGCCAACGACAACUAUGCGGAAGCACGUCUCGCCGCGUAAGCGGUGCGAUAGCUUCAAAUCAAGCCCUAGUGGUUCGCACUUCUAGGCGGGGUUCGGAGGUACCUGGCAACAGAAACCUCCACU